UACGUAGGGUGCAAGCGUUGUCCGGAAUUAUUGGGCGUAAAGCGCUCGUAGGCGGUUUGUUGCGUCGGCUGUGAAAUCCCGAGGCUCAACCUCGGGUCUGCAGUCGAUACGAGCAAACUAGAGUGUUGCAGGGGAGACUGGAAUUCCUGGUGUAGCGGUGAAAUGCGCAGAUAUCAGGAGGAACACCGGUGGCGAAGGCGGGUCGCUGGGCAGCAACUGACGCUGAGGUGCGAAAGCGUGGGGAGCAAACAGG
This 253-nucleotide ribosomal RNA is filed under the name uncultured bacterium. RNAcentral describes it as "partial 16S ribosomal RNA". It matches the Rfam family "Bacterial small subunit ribosomal RNA", at positions 524 to 776 of the family's 1533-position model. The record is from RNAcentral.